This 399-nucleotide ribosomal RNA is filed under the name Bacillus sp. (in: firmicutes). RNAcentral's name for it is "bacterial SSU rRNA". It matches the Rfam family "Bacterial small subunit ribosomal RNA", at positions 519 to 916 of the family's 1533-position model. The record is from RNAcentral. Lineage: Bacteria; Bacillati; Bacillota; Bacilli; Caryophanales; Bacillaceae.
GGUAAUACGUAGGUGGCAAGCGUUGUCCGGAAUUAUUGGGCGUAAAGGGCUCGCAGGCGGUUUCUUAAGUCUGAUGUGAAAGCCCCCGGCUCAACCGGGGAGGGUCAUUGGAAACUGGGGAACUUGAGUGCAGAAGAGGAGAGUGGAAUUCCACGUGUAGCGGUGAAAUGCGUAGAGAUGUGGAGGAACACCAGUGGCGAAGGCGACUCUCUGGUCUGUAACUGACGCUGAGGAGCGAAAGCGUGGGGAGCGAACAGGAUUAGAUACCCUGGUAGUCCACGCCGUAAACGAUGAGUGCUAAGUGUUAGGGGGUUUCCGCCCCUUAGUGCUGCAGCUAACGCAUUAAGCACUCCGCCUGGGGAGUACGGUCGCAAGACUGAAACUCAAAGGAAUUGACGG